CUGGGGGAGGAGGGCUGCGGGAUGGAGGGGGAGGGGAGGGGAGGGGCUGGGGGAGCGGGGGCGGCGUCGUGGAGGCGUGAAGUGCUGCAGCUCUGACAGGAAGCAGCGUCACCGUUUCAUUAAUACGCGGUCGUACGGGCCGUUAACCGGUCCGUCCGGUGUGACGCUGCUGCCGGAGCUGCUGUGGACCGGACGCAGGCAGGUUCAUGUGCAUUGCUUCAUGUGUUGUCCAUCCUGGUCUUCAGGUGCUGCCAUUAAAGGAACAUUUGGGGAUGAGGUCACAACUAGUGAGAUGAGGAGAUCGGGGACCACCGGGUCACGUGCUGCUCUGGGCGUCUGGGCUGGAGACCAGUACUGGACCGGCUCUAACGCCUGUGAAGGCUCUUGUCCCACUGCAUAUAAGCACCUCCACAUUUUAGUUGAUCCCCUUCACACAGUGCAAAUGACGAGUGAGAUGCUGCUGAAAUGCAUUGUGGGAUUGAAAAGGCUGGAGAAACCAGACAAACUCUAGUGUGAUUUCUGUCUUGUUUUCCUCCCAGUGGCCUACAUCCUGGUCACAGUGUGUUCUCUGGUGCAGAUCCAGAACCGAACCACAAGCUGUGAAUGGAUCAAUGGUUUCUGUGCUUUGUUGCAGACGUCGAGCCGUGAGGAAGAGCAGAGCCUCUCACACGUUUGGUGGAUGACCCGAUAAUUAAUUGAUGGAGGGUGAAAUGAUGACUAACGGCACCAGUAGCUACAGAACGCAGCAUCUACUUCUGGGAUGUUCUGUUCACAUCUGAUCAAUUAAAGAAGGGAUUUUGGCUC
Betta splendens (Siamese fighting fish) is the source of this 804-nucleotide long non-coding RNA. RefSeq lists it as uncharacterized. The record is from RefSeq and is a predicted model, not a curated record. Lineage: Eukaryota; Metazoa; Chordata; Actinopteri; Anabantiformes; Osphronemidae. The transcript has 2 exons.